Molecule: non-coding RNA, 90 nt
Organism: Termitomyces sp. Mi166#008
Lineage: Eukaryota; Fungi; Basidiomycota; Agaricomycetes; Agaricales; Lyophyllaceae
Source: the annotation of a GenBank genome assembly
GGCCGUGUGGCGAAAUGGCAUCGCGUCUGACUACGAUGAGUUGUUUCAUCAUUCAUCAGGAGAUUGCAGGUUCGACCCCUGUCUCGGUCA